RNAcentral lists this long non-coding RNA (754 nucleotides) under Prunus dulcis (almond). Its description in RNAcentral is "sRNA ncRNA". The record is from RNAcentral. Lineage: Eukaryota; Viridiplantae; Streptophyta; Magnoliopsida; Rosales; Rosaceae.
UGUCUUUUUCUUCAGAAAGUAGCUUUGAUUCAUGCAUGGUUAGGUACUUGUAGAGUUUUUGUUUUUAUUUUUAAAAGGGUUUCCUUGUUCCAAAAAAGGAAAGAUAAUAAGGAUUCUUCAGGGAAGGCAUCAGAUGGUAUGCGUUGCUCAGAAAGUCAGGUUUCCUUCUUAGGCAACAUUGCAUGCAAGCCGUCUAGCUAAAAGCUAUCUGAAAUUUUUACUUUACUAAUAAAUGCCAGAGUUUGGCAUCCCCCCAACUUUUAUUAUCCCCCCAACUUUUAUUCCAUCUUUUCAAGUCACUAAAAAAUAAAGCUCCACAGACUCCCUACCCUCCUCCCUGUUGUAGAAAUUUUUUGUUUUUUGUCUUUUUACAUGUAGAGAAUAGAAGUGAUAAGUAAUGAACUCUCUAUUUAUUACUUUAUACUUUUACAAGCGUGCUUGAGUUUGUACAAAAGUAAAUUGUUAGGUUUUGAGUUUGACUCUUCCUAAAAUUCCUCAGGUUUACGGGUAAAAUCCAACCAACAAUAGAAUACUUAAAUUGAACACUAAUUUUAUGACAGUUAACAGUGACUUUUAAGCUUAAUCAUAUGGGGAAAAAAGACACUUGAUUCCCAAUAUGGGCAGAUCAAUUAGAAAGAUAAAUAAAGCCAAAGAACUCAAUUUAUGCUAAUAAGCAUCUAGCAAUAUGAACAAAAUAACACUAAAACACUAGUGGAGCCUGAUAAAAAUUUCGUUUGAAAAUACAAAACAAAAC